Long non-coding RNA from Ictalurus punctatus (channel catfish), 1625 nucleotides. RefSeq lists it as uncharacterized. NCBI's taxonomy places the organism in Eukaryota, Metazoa, Chordata, Actinopteri, Siluriformes, Ictaluridae. The record is from RefSeq and is a predicted model, not a curated record. The transcript has 5 exons.
CAUCUGGAGGAUUCCUGAGUGGUAGGGGUCUAUAUAAAGAGCCUGGUGGCUUGUUAUGUUUGUACAUUUCCCUACAGCAGCAUUUGUGCUUCAUAACAUGCCGUAAACGGUCAACCUACUCAGCAAGGAUUUUAAAGUCUGCAUGCAAUAAAGUAACUUUAUCCUGGAAAGGGUCUUGGUGGAUCAGGAACCUAUCCCGUGAAUGCUGGACUCAAGGUUCCAAAAGGGGGCUUUUGGUCUUUCCAAAUAUUGUACAACUAUACUGAGACCAUGAGCAGCGUGAACUCUGCUGCUUGUCUGCUGGCAAGGAAUCACUUUUACCAGAAUAUUAGUCCUACCAACAAAAUACAGCCUGUGUACAGUUUCCCUGGUAGUCCAUCAUAUGCAAGGCAAAGGCAAGUGACUGUCUGGAAAUCUGCCUCCUCACACCAAGGUUUGCCAGGACAGGAGCCAAGACGAUGGGUAAUAAGUUUGGUUUGGAAAAGUUCAUUAUCUAGCCCGGUCUCAUCCAAGCAGCUAGAUUCUGCUAACCGUGUGAUCAAAUAGACAUCUGAACCACACCUUUUCUAAAGACUUCAUGUAACAUUCCCUGAGCCACAAUAUAUACUUUCCCUUUUGAAUCCUGCCCCCAACCCACUCAAGAUUGGGUUUAAAGCCUUGAUCCAGCUGAUGUACAACCGUGAAUAGUUUCCUAGCAAAUCUACCAGUUAAUAUUAAAUGAUUUAAUUUGUCCAGGAAAAUACAAAAAAGAAAGGACCUGCAGUUGUCCUGUGGCAUGAUGCAUUCCCUUAAUAAUAGCCUCUCAUUUUUCCCCAAAAAGCAGAAGAGCAUCUUUUGUGUUCUCCUUAACCCUUACUGUAGGGAGUGUGCAUCCUCAUUCUUCAGUGUCCAAUCACAGCUUCACGUGGUCUGCCCUGCACAGACCUGUUGCCAAGCACAGGGGAAGAGAGACUGAAAGAAAAAGACAGUGUCAGCACACUACACAAAGCCUUUUCCAUGAACACCGCCAUCAGGGCUCAGUGACCAAAAAAACAUGCACACACAUGAGGGGGAAAAAGGCAUGUACUUUAUGAGAACCAAGUUCCAUAUGCUUUAAAUAGAUAAAUUGUGAGGUCAUGUUCUACUUCCUCAGGCACAUUGGAUGAGCACAUGCGGUCAUGCAUUUCUUUUGUAAAAGCAGAGUCUUCUUUUUGUAUUUUUCUGCUCAAGUUAUGUGAAAUGAACAGAUCUCGGUCCGUUUCUCAUCUUUAUCAUAUCACACAGUCUGGAAAGAAGAUUUGUGGACUUCCUUCUCACUCAUAUAAAUCUCCCUCUAGACUUGCUUACUCUUCCAAAAGCUUCAUGUUGUUUGUUCUAAGGGUGUGAUGUGAUUCGAAAGGAAGUUUGCAUAACAGAAUGUACACAGAAGAACCACUCGAGCUGAAUUAACAUGCCAGUUACACAACAGCUGCAGAUCAGCUUUGUAAGCUUGGCAGACAAAAAAAAAAGCAUGUCUAGAUCAUUCUUCCUUAGAAACUCUGAAUUAACACAUUGAUAGAGGUCAUUACUCUGGAAUGAGAUGCGAAAAGCUGUGUUAAGCCAAAAAUAGGCUUACACUGAAGGAAUAAACCAACAAUGAAAAUGAA